Molecule: unclassified non-coding RNA, 378 nt
Filed under: Hevea brasiliensis (rubber tree)
Lineage: Eukaryota; Viridiplantae; Streptophyta; Magnoliopsida; Malpighiales; Euphorbiaceae
Source: RNAcentral
GAAGAAAUUUAACAAUUCACCCUAAAUUUCUUUAUCAUUCAGUGCACACAAUUAUCGAACUGUUGAAUACUUAAUAUCAAAAUUAUCAUUUUGCCAAUGUUUGAUAGUCUCUGUCCAUCAGUAGAUGGAAAAUUCCCUGACUAAAAAGAUCAUUUGUGAAUAGUUGUAUCAGAUAUACAAAUUGCUUCUCCUAAUUAGGAGCCAAUUUGGAUUUUAUUGUUAUAACACGAUAACACAUUCAAUUGGAUGAAUCCCAAGGGCAAAGGUUGUAAUUCUGGGGUAAAUUACAAGAGGGCAUUUUUUUUUCCUUGCAAUUUGAUACAUGAGGGCCUACCUUUGAAUGAACUGGGAAAUUUACUUAUGCUGCAAUAGAAAAGG